AUAUUUACCCGGCAAGGGAGAUACCACGAUCACGAAGGUGGUUUUCCCAGGGUGGGCUUUACCCGUCGCCCUCCGGCUGCGCUGACUCCUGCGAUCUCCCCGGAUGUGGGAAACCUGAUCUCACAAUUGGUGGUAGUGGGCGGCCGUGUUCACUCUCUCCCCUG
Phyllostomus discolor (pale spear-nosed bat) is the source of this 164-nucleotide small nuclear RNA. RefSeq annotates it as U1 spliceosomal RNA. The transcript has a single exon. The record is from RefSeq and is a predicted model, not a curated record. Lineage: Eukaryota; Metazoa; Chordata; Mammalia; Chiroptera; Phyllostomidae.